RNAcentral lists this ribosomal RNA (253 nucleotides) under uncultured bacterium. RNAcentral's name for it is "partial 16S ribosomal RNA". It matches the Rfam family "Bacterial small subunit ribosomal RNA", at positions 524 to 776 of the family's 1533-position model. The record is from RNAcentral.
UACGUAGGCAGCAAGCGUCGUUCGGAGUUACUGGGCGUAAAGGGUGUGUAGGCGGCUUCUUAAGUUUGGUGUGAAAUCUCCCGGCUUAACUGGGAGGGUGCGCCGAAAACUGAGAAGCUAGAGUGCGGGAGAGGAGAGUGGAAUUCCUGGUGUAGCGGUGAAAUGCGUAGAUAUCAGGAGGAACACCGGUGGUGUAGACGGCUCUCUGGACCGUAACUGACGCUGAGACACGAAAGCGUGGGGAGCAAACAGG